CCUACGGGCGGCAGCAGUGGGGAAUAUUGGACAAUGGGGGCAACCCUGAUCCAGCCAUGCCGCGUGUGUGAAGAAGGCCCUCGGGUUGUAAAGCACUUUCAGUGAGGAAGAACGCCUGGUGGUUAAUACCCAUCAGGAAAGACAUCACUCACAGAAGAAGCACCGGCUAACUCCGUGCCAGCAGCCGCGGUAAUACGGAGGGUGCGAGCGUUAAUCGGAAUUACUGGGCGUAAAGCGCGCGUAGGUGGCUUGAUAAUCCGGUUGUGAAAGCCCCGGGCUCAACCUGGGAACGGCAUCCGGAACUGUCAAGCUAGAGUGCAGGAGAGGAAGGUAGAAUUCCCGGUGUAGCGGUGAAAUGCGUAGAGAUCGGGAGGAAUACCAGUGGCGAAGGCGGCCUUCUGGACUGACACUGACACUGAGGUGCGAAAGCGUGGGUAGCAAACAGGAUUAGAUACCCUGGUAGUC
Molecule: ribosomal RNA, 465 nt
Filed under: Vreelandella stevensii
Lineage: Bacteria; Pseudomonadati; Pseudomonadota; Gammaproteobacteria; Oceanospirillales; Halomonadaceae
Description: partial 16S ribosomal RNA
Rfam family: Bacterial small subunit ribosomal RNA
Source: RNAcentral